Molecule: long non-coding RNA, 951 nt
Organism: Glycine soja
Lineage: Eukaryota; Viridiplantae; Streptophyta; Magnoliopsida; Fabales; Fabaceae
Exons: 3
Source: RefSeq, a predicted model, not a curated record
AGUUCCAAAAACUCAAAACCCAACUAUCCUACAUUUUUAUAUAUAUCACUUCUUAUCCCCUCUCAUCACCGCAUAUAUAUGACUAAUUGACUAUUCUUUUCUUGUUAUGUGAUUUUCUUUUUCUUUUUUUUUAUGAACAGUAUGUGAAGAAGGAAUAUUGGGGAGAAGAGGAAGGGAGGAUCUAGUUGAUAGGGUUGUUGACAGAAGAUAGAGAGCACAGAUAGUGAUAUGCAUAAAAAUAUGGAACGGGAAAGCAAUUGCAUCUCACUCCUUUGUGCUCUCUAGGCUUCUGUCAUCCACACCUUCACUGCCCCUCCAUUUCUCACAACUCAAUCUUCCAUUACUCAAACAGUUUAGACGGGCACCAGUUGUGGCUUUUGAAGAUCAUGAAUUUGUUCGUUGAUGGUAUGGGUAAAAGCUAUUUAAACUGAGAAGAUGAACAAAUGAGUUAGCCUGAGCAAGUGCUUCAAACAGUGAUUCGCACCUAAGGACUGGUCUACUACUACCACUUGCAUUGUGGAAAAUUAAAGGGCAAAAUGAAAAUGGGAAUUUUCUACAUUGAAAAAUUAUGGAAGCCAGCGAGUUAAACUAAUAAUGUACGGAUCCAAAAUGGACAUGACAUAUUGUAGGGCAUAUACUUUGCAGAAUUUUCCAAGUGAUCAGUACGCCACAAUUGUUCACUGAUUCGCAAAUGUGGCCUCUGUAUCAUCAGUCAAUGGACGACGUACGGAUUACAAAGGGAUCAGGCUUCCUAAUUCCAGAUUUGAUGUGAUCAAAUAUAUCUAGUCACCAACAAAACCAACCUAAUUUAAUUAUUUAUGUCAUUGUUAUCGUCCACAAUUUCUCUUCUAUCUCAUUUUCACCUUUUUUAUCUUUAUUUUUAUUUUUCAUUACAUCAUUUAUCAUAUUUAUCAAUUUUUCUCCUUUUUUUCUAUAUCUUUUCUUUCAAUU